This 252-nucleotide ribosomal RNA is filed under the name uncultured bacterium. RNAcentral's name for it is "partial 16S ribosomal RNA". It matches the Rfam family "Bacterial small subunit ribosomal RNA", at positions 524 to 776 of the family's 1533-position model. The record is from RNAcentral.
UACGUAGGUCCCGAGCGUUGUCCGGAUUUAUUGGGCGUAAAGCGAGCGCAGGUGGUUUAUUAAGUCUGGUGUAAAAGGCAGUGGCUCAACCAUUGUAUGCAUUGGAAACUGGUAGACUUGAGUGCAGGAGAGGAGAGUGGAAUUCCAUGUGUAGCGGUGAAAUGCGUAGAUAUAUGGAGGAACCCCGGUGGCGAAAGCGACUCUCUGGCCUGUAACUGACACUGAGGCUCGAAAGCGUGGGGAGCAAACAGG